This 207-nucleotide ribosomal RNA is filed under the name uncultured bacterium. RNAcentral describes it as "partial 16S ribosomal RNA". It matches the Rfam family "Bacterial small subunit ribosomal RNA", at positions 137 to 334 of the family's 1533-position model. The record is from RNAcentral.
UGCGGAAUAACUACUCGAAAGGGUAGCUAAUACCGCAUGUGGUCUCAGAUCGUUGGAUUUGAGAAGAAAGGGGGGUCGUAAGAUCUCUCGCCAUUAGAUGAGCCUGGGCACGAUUAGCUAGUUGGUGAGGUAAUGGCUCACCAAGGCGACGAUCGUUAGCUGGUCUGAGAGGAUGACCAGCCACACUGGAACUGACACACGGUCCAG